AACGAACGCUGGCGGCAUGCCUAACACAUGCAAGUCGAACGAGAUCUUCGGGUCUAGUGGCGCACGGGUGCGUAACGCGUGGGAAUCUGCCCUUUGGUUCGGAAUAACAGUUGGAAACGACUGCUAAUACCGGAUGAUGACGAAAGUCCAAAGAUUUAUCGCCAGAGGAUGAGCCCGGGUAGGAUUAGCAAGUUGGUGUGGUAAAGGCGCACCAAGGCGACGAUCCUUAGAUGGUCUGAGAGGAUGAUCAGCCACACUGGGACUGAUACACGGCCCAGACUACUACGGGAGGCAGCAGUGGGGAAGAUUGGACAAUGGGCGAAAGCCUGAUCCAGCAAUGCCGCGUGAGUGAUGAAGGCCUUAGGGUUGUAAAGCUCUUUUACCCGGGAUGAUAAUGACAGUACCGGGAGAAUAAGCUCCGGCUAACUCCGUGCCAGCCGCCGCCGUAA
Molecule: ribosomal RNA, 449 nt
Filed under: uncultured bacterium
Lineage: Bacteria
Description: partial 16S ribosomal RNA
Rfam family: Bacterial small subunit ribosomal RNA
Source: RNAcentral